This 153-nucleotide unclassified non-coding RNA is filed under the name Amanita caesareoides. Its description in RNAcentral is "ITS2". Lineage: Eukaryota; Fungi; Basidiomycota; Agaricomycetes; Agaricales; Amanitaceae. The record is from RNAcentral.
UCUCUCAAAAAUACUUCAUUUUUGGAUAUUGGGAGUCAUUGCUGGCGGCUGUUGAACCUCAGCUCUCCUUAAAUUCUUUGAGGACGAAAAAUGUUGGUGUGUGAUAAUAAUGGUCUAUGCCAAACAAGUAGUCCCCCCACCCUCUUUUAAUGA